Molecule: long non-coding RNA, 426 nt
Organism: Sander lucioperca (pikeperch)
Lineage: Eukaryota; Metazoa; Chordata; Actinopteri; Perciformes; Percidae
Exons: 2
Source: RefSeq, a predicted model, not a curated record
ACUGCCCCGGCAGCAAAUACAACUGCCCCGGCAGGAAAUACAACUGCCCCGGCCUCCUCCGCCCUCAUCAACAAAAUCAGUCUCUUUUCAGUCGUUGUGGCUGUGAUGACACCUGUACUCCACUCAGGUUGUUGAAGGUGUUAAGUGCAGUUCUUAUCCUGUGCAUGAAAGUGAUGAAAAUGUAAGGAUUUGUGUUUAUAUACUGUAAGCUAAUAUGCUAAUUGAUUUAACUGUUUAAUGAUGUGUGUAUUGUACACUGGACCCUCCUGGAGGUACUUAUAAUUAAUCCAAAUGCCUGUGAUGACUAUGUUUGUUUUGAUUCAGAGGCCAGCAAGUGAAUCUGUCUAAUAUUACGAAAUAUUAACAUUUUGUAUGUCGUCACAUGAUUACAAAAAGAUGGUUUACAAUAAAGGUUUUGCAAAGCUA